UCCGAGUUGUCCCCGGCAGUCCUCUUAGAGUCCCCGGCAUUACCCGCUGGCAACUAAGAGCAGGGGUUGCGCUCGUUGCGGCACUUAAGCCAACACCUCACGGCACGAGCUGACGACAGCCAUGCAGCACCUGUGCUAGCCCCUUACGGACACGGGCUUUCACCCGCUUUAACUAGCAUGUCAAACCCAGGUAAGGUGGGGAUGACGUAGCUAAGCCUUC
Molecule: unclassified non-coding RNA, 220 nt
Filed under: uncultured Actinomycetes bacterium
Lineage: Bacteria; Bacillati; Actinomycetota; Actinomycetes
Description: uncultured actinobacterium contains 16S-23S intergenic spacer region
Source: RNAcentral